This 741-nucleotide long non-coding RNA is filed under the name Manduca sexta (tobacco hornworm). RNAcentral's name for it is "uncharacterized LOC119189883". The record is from RNAcentral. Lineage: Eukaryota; Metazoa; Arthropoda; Insecta; Lepidoptera; Sphingidae.
AUAAAUAAUUGUUUAUGUAAGUAAUAUUAAUUACUUACAAUAGAAAAUAAUAAUAAUAAAUAAAUAAACAAAUACCAGCAAUGGCACCUCUCAUUCAGCUGAAUGCUGUUGUACCAGGUAAGUGGUACUGCAGCGCUGAUUUUCGAUGAGAGGGCCAGGAGACGUGCGGACGCAUAGUCGGCUUAUAUAUUAUACAAUAUUGGGAUUAUGCAUUUAUUAUGUUAUUUAUGGCACGAGCCGAACAUAACUCACAACGCUCACAACCGGGCCCGGCGGCGAGUUGCGCACACGCUCCGGUGCGCAGCGUAUAUUAGUCUUAAAUUCGAUUGCUUAAAUUCACUGUCCAAGUAGAAAACGAAACUAAAACAAAAUAUAUAUACCUAAGUAAUAGUCAUUGUACAAUAAUAAAUUGUGUAACUAUUAACUUUGGGGGUACAAUACACGUUGAAAUAAUGCCACACGCCACUCAUUAACAAAGUACCACUAUGCAGCAAUGGGAUUAGUCAUGGCGGCCACUAUCACUGAUCGUGAAACAACAUCCACCUCGCCGCCCGGACGAAUACGUGAAGACCGACAUGGAGGAGGAAUGUUGUUCCAACAGUGCGUGGCGGCAUACCUAAAGGAUCCCCGAAAGGCAGUGGUCCUGUGAUGUGGAGUCAUCAUUGGAUUAGUUAUAGUUCGCGUGCCAAAUCUGAAAUGGUCUUGUCUCCAACAUAGUUUGUUAUAAAGGUAUUUUGGCUU